Molecule: ribosomal RNA, 253 nt
Filed under: uncultured bacterium
Lineage: Bacteria
Description: partial 16S ribosomal RNA
Rfam family: Bacterial small subunit ribosomal RNA
Source: RNAcentral
UACGUAGGGGGCAAGCGUUGUCCGGAAUCAUUGGGCGUAAAGAGCGUGUAGGCGGUCCGGUAAGUCGGCUGUGAAAAUCCAGGGCUCAACCCUGGGAUGCCGGUCGAUACUGCCGGACUAGAGUUCGGAAGAGGCGAGUGGAAUUCCCGGUGUAGCGGUGAAAUGCGCAGAUAUCGGGAGGAACACCUAUGGCGAAGGCAGCUCGCUGGGACGUUACUGACGCUGAGACGCGAAAGCGUGGGGAGCAAACAGG